Long non-coding RNA from Alosa alosa (allis shad), 166 nucleotides. RefSeq lists it as uncharacterized. The record is from RefSeq and is a predicted model, not a curated record. The transcript has 2 exons. NCBI's taxonomy places the organism in Eukaryota, Metazoa, Chordata, Actinopteri, Clupeiformes, Clupeidae.
AAGUUUUCCGAGAGUGGCAGUUCUCCCCUUAUUAGACAUUCUCUGCUGUCGCUUCACUCUGCUACUGAAGGAUCAGGCUGACUGCAACUGCUAUGGAUGGCAGGAAAACACCGUACACGUGAAUUUCUAGAUGAAGAGUGAAUAAAUGCACUUGCUUAACUGAUAA